Molecule: transfer RNA, 64 nt
Filed under: Dermacentor andersoni
Lineage: Eukaryota; Metazoa; Arthropoda; Arachnida; Ixodida; Ixodidae
Description: tRNA-Tyr
Source: RNAcentral
GGUAAAAUGGCUGAUUAUAGGCGAUAAAUUGUAAAUUUAUUAAUGAUUUUUUUCUCUUUUACUA